UUCAAGCGAAGCACUGGCCGGUAAAAAGUUUUCAUACUUUUUAUUAUUCUAUGUAUUUUAAUUUAAGAAUCUCUAUAGAAAAAAGGCAAAUCUUCCUUUUUAUCAUUUGAUUUAUUCAUUUAUAGUCAAGUUUUUUGUAGAAAUGCUAAAUAAAUGUAACCUUGGUGUAGUUUCUAAAUUGUUCAAAGUAUUGUCACUUAAUUUCGAAAACCCGGUGCACCUACUCAUAAACUUCGAAACUGUACUCAAACAUUGAAAUUGCUGUUUAAGGGCUAAUUGUAAUAAACAGUUGACUACCACAGUUGGCUGCCAGACACCUGGAGGACGUAGGACGUUCGUGGCCUCGAAGACUAAUCUAAGAGUGCGCGCUGUUGAGAAUAAAGAAUGCAGGCAACUGAAGUCUACUUGAAGGCAGUGCUUCACUGCAUUAAAUUAAGGUACCUGGUACAAGCGAGAAGUUUUAGCUGACAUUGGUAUUACUGACAGAAUUCGAUUUAUUCGAAUAUUUUAAACAAAGAAUAGAGAUUUCCCUUAGAACAUCGUAAUUUGACCUACAAGUUAGGAAGGAUUAUAAUGUCAAUGGACAUUUUUUAUUUUGGUAAUUUAAAGCAACAUUUUAUAUAAACUUUAAAUCUAAUGUUGAUAAGUAGUCAGCAGAAAUAGUAAAUAUUUUCACAUGCAGACAUUUUAUAUACAUAGAGGUGGGACAUUGUAAACUAUUAUAAUUCCAGUUCAAUAAGCCACCUCAUAUUAUUAUUGUCAUGUUAUGAAAUAUUUCAUAAGAUUGUAAUAAGCUCCUUUUAUCAUUAGUGUUAAUGAUAGGAAUUUGCUUCAGCCAGCACACAAAUGAUAGAAUAAAUAAUGUUUAUUAUUUAUUUACAUUUAAAUUAAUAUUACUGUUUAAGUUGUUACCGACAGUGCGGCAGCCAAAAAUACAAAACACUUUUUUUUAUCAAACUAUCACAUCUUUAUUUAAAACUUAUUUACAAAAAUAUAUAGAAAAAAACUCAAAACUAUCUGGAUCACAUCUUGACUUCUUAUCCUUCUUUUUUUCUAUAUAUUGUCUCUAACCAGCGAUAAAUGCCUUGGUGGCUAGUAUGCAACCACUUUCGCUGUAUACAUACUGCUUAUCAGCCAAAGAGGUUGUAUUUUGCACUCAACAAUUACAAUAUGUGUAUAUAAACACAAGAUAUUAUUUUUAACUCAACAUAACAUUGUUCUCUCUAUUUCGUACAACUGAAUUCAAUAUAAACUACAUGUCAUAUUUAAAUUAUUAUUAACAGCCAGUCUUACAAUGCAACCUCUUACACAAAGCAGGUUUCAUUUAUGACAGUUAAUAUAAAGAACACAUGUUUUAUAGAUAUGUAGAGGAGGCUGUGUGUUGGACGGCUAUUUUCUAUCGUCCCAGGCUCUGGAGGUGUAGGGCUAUUGAAACACUGUCUUUACAUAGUUAAUAAGUAUGUUAUAAGCAUUAAACAAUCACAUUUUAUACAAUCUCCUACUUCAUAUAUCAUAUGAUGUUACAUGGUACAUAUUGAGAUGAGAAGUCAUUCUUUAACAUCAGUGGUACAAUUCCUUAUAAAAUUUAUAUGCACAUUAUUCUAGUAUUAAAAAAAACAUUCUACUUGUGUAAAGUGUUGCCUACACUAACCUUAACUCCUUUUCAACUUAUAUAAGAAAGUUCCUCAACAGCUUCUCUAUCUAUUAGCUACUUAAUCAACUUCUCUAUUUUUAUUUAAAAACCUUAAACACCUUCUCAACUUCUACCUAAGAUUAACUUCCUUAUGUUCACUCAUAAUCAACAUUAAUCUCCUACUUGACCCCGUAAACUUCUUUAAAUUUAUUAAAAAAAGCUUUUUGACUCUAUCUUCUUAAAGAGCCAUCUUCUUCCGAAGUUAGGCGAUCAUUAGGGCGACUUUCGUUCUUGACACGUGUAUAUUUAAAUCAAACGUGUAUAUUUACAUAUAUUGGGAGUGGUGUAAAUAUCUGCUAAAAUAAAAACCCAAAGUUGGAAAUAAAUGUUUAUUGCGUAACCUCAAUUUGUUAUGUAUCAUACAUGUACAUAUUUCCAUUUUCAAUAGUGGCGUCCUCGAACAGCGUUUUCUAGAUUUCCAAUAUUUCUAUUAAACGGCCAGUCUUAGAGAAACGAUGCAGAGAACCUGAAAGCAUAACAAAUUUUACUGUACAACAUAUUAUACGCUUCUAAUUACCGCCCUCAGUUUCGCGUAGCAAACUGUGCAUGAGUGAAGCUGCGAGCAGUUGGUACUUUUAAACAUUGUGACAAGGCACUAACAACUCAGCCUGACUGAGUUAAAUUUUUAAUAUGGGUUAAUAAUUAUCGCCCGCUGAUUAUGUAGUCACCAACCUCUAAUUCUAAUUCUAAAUUAUAUCGUUAGGACAAUUUGUUCAAAUUCGAAAAUCACAUUGGUACAUGGCAGGAUUUCAAGUCAAGAUACUUGACUCCUGAGCCAUCUAAGCUCAUAGGCAUAGAAAGGCAACACUCUCAUCAGACUACUAUUAAAUAGUUCCAACUUUUAUCAUUUGAAUCUAGUAUAUCAUGAACAUUGAUUUAACUUGCUACUUGCUAAUAAUGUUCAUCAUAAAAUCACUGGCACAAACCUGUCGCAAAUUUUCGCUUUUAGAUUUUAGUGGCCUGAUACGUUAAAACUGUAGCCGUUUCGAUACAACAUUUUUUCUGUCGAUGUUGUUGCACUUAUAGAUAUUUUCUGUAAUAACAAGUAUUGUUAUAAUUUUCCGCGACAACUAAUCUAAAUUAACUAUUAUUACUACAUUGUACAGAAUACAAUUUCAGUUUUAUUACAAACUUACCUUACAAUCGAAAUAAAAAUUAUCGCGGGCUUUUGAACACAUCAGAUAUUUUCUUUAAUAAUUAAUUAAUUUGUUUAUAAUUAAUUAGUCGUUUUUAGUUUUGUAAAAUUGUGACUUUUAUACGUCAAAACUAUUUUUGCUUUUAAUUUUGACACAAUAUUGUGCUGCGAUCAAAGAGUUUUGUAGCCAUUAAAAGUAACUGGCUGGUUUUUAACGCAAUCUAGUCUCAUUUAAAAGUUUUACAUGACUAAAUUGCCUAGCCUUGUACGCUAGAUGAUGUUGAUUACCGUGCCAUUUUUUUUUCAAUCAUUUAGUAUGCCGGUGUCACCCCCCUGCAGCAGCUAAGUAUAAAUAACGUCCCUUUAUUUUUCAAAAUUUCUUUAUUCUUAUCGAUUUUAUUUUUUUUUAUUUUAUUCCCUUUGAAUUUAUUAUAAUUCAAUAAGCUUCCUCCAAAUUUUAUAAUCUUCCUUAAGGAUUUUUAUUGAAUCCAUCUUUGGUUGAUAGCAAUCAAUAGAAUAGAUGUUAUGGUAGAAAAAAUAUUCAUAGGAAUAUUUUUAAUCAACAAUCUGGUUGUUAUCAUUCUUGCUUUACUGCUAAUCACAGCUGACUGGCCGCUCGCUACAGUCCGCGUAACGUUGAGUGAGCACGGCGCCUAGCCCAUACGCGCUGCUGUCCACCGACACUACAAGUUCGCGCCCCUCUUCGUAAUGCGCCAGUACCAGGAGGCCAGAUCUUGUGGAAAAUUUGAGGGGAAUUCCUCGUGAUGAAAUACCUCUUCUGCGACAUAACCUUUACCUAAAUUAAUCUGUCCCCGCCUAAGUGGUGGGCCUGUGCGCAAAUAAUAAUUUCUUUUAAAAUAACUAUGUUGUGUCUGUGUAAAUGCGUUAUUAGGAUUUGCUUAAAGCAUUUAAUUACAAUUUCCAAUUCA
This is a long non-coding RNA of Papilio polytes (common Mormon), 3757 nucleotides long. RefSeq lists it as uncharacterized. The transcript has 3 exons. The record is from RefSeq and is a predicted model, not a curated record. Lineage: Eukaryota; Metazoa; Arthropoda; Insecta; Lepidoptera; Papilionidae.